ACGGGAGGCAGCAGUGGGGAAUAUUGCACAAUGGGCGCAAGCCUGAUGCAGCGAUGCCGCGUGGGGGAAGAAGGUUUUCGGAUUGUAAACCUCUGUCAACAGGGACGAAGAAGACGGUACCUGUGAAGGAAGCUCCGGCUAACUACGUGCCAGCAGCCGCGGUAAUACGUAGGGAGCAAGCGUUAUCCGGAAUUACUGGGUGUAAAGGGAGUGUAGGCGGGACUGUAAGUCAGAUGUGAAAUAUACCGGCGCAACGGGUAGACUGCUUUUGAAACUGCGGGUCUUGAGUGAAGUAGAGGUAAGCGGAAUUCCUAGUGUAGCGGUGAAAUGCGUAGAUAUUAGGAGGAACAUCAGUGGCGAAGGCGGCUUACUGGGCUUUAACUGACGCUGAGGCUCGAAAGCGUGGGGAGCAAACAGGAUUAGAU
This 425-nucleotide ribosomal RNA is filed under the name uncultured Ruminococcus sp. RNAcentral describes it as "partial 16S ribosomal RNA". It matches the Rfam family "Bacterial small subunit ribosomal RNA", at positions 341 to 783 of the family's 1533-position model. Lineage: Bacteria; Bacillati; Bacillota; Clostridia; Eubacteriales; Oscillospiraceae. The record is from RNAcentral.